This 260-nucleotide ribosomal RNA is filed under the name uncultured bacterium. RNAcentral's name for it is "partial 16S ribosomal RNA". It matches the Rfam family "Bacterial small subunit ribosomal RNA", at positions 524 to 777 of the family's 1533-position model. The record is from RNAcentral.
UACGUAGGGGGCGAGCGUUAUCCGGAUUUACUGGGCGUAAAGCGCGUUUAAGGCGGCCGACAAAGUUUGGUGGUGAAAUUUUCAGGGCUCAACUCUGAAACUGCCUCCAAUACUGGUCGGCUUUGAGUGCGAUAGAGGAAGGUGGAAUUCCCGGUGUAGUAGUGAAAUGCGUAGAUAUCGGGAGGAACACCAGUGGCGAAGGCGGCCUUCUGGCUCGCAACUGACGCUGUAGCGCGAAAAGCGUGGGGGAGCGAACGGGG